AUGAGAUGGAUACCUCACGACUCGAUGAAGGCAAAGGAGGUAGCUGACACCCUUCGUUCAUGCGGCAAACUGGUUGACAAGGAGGAGCCUCACAUGUGCUUCUCAUCUCGGGAAGCAAUGUCAAGGUUCGCCACCAGAGAAUUAGGCGUCAGCGGUGCACGAGCAGCCAUUACAAGGAUUCAUGGAAAUGAGACCCCCAACUCCAUGUACAUUGUGGAACAGGUCACCCAACUCAACAAUAACGUGGUGCCAUGCCAUCCUAUGGAUUUUCCAUAUGAGGUCUUUUAUUGCCAUCGGCCGAAAGAGGUGCAGUCUUUGAGGGUGCAACUCAAGGGUUUGAAAGAUGGCAUGCCGCGUGUGACGGCAAUAGCCAUGUGUCACAUGAACACAUCUAAUUGGGACACCCAGUACUUUGAGCUAUUAGAUGGAAAGUGUGGUGAACUUAUUUGCCACUACAUGCCUACCAAUUACAUCAUGUUCUAUUAG
RNAcentral lists this ribosomal RNA (486 nucleotides) under Triticum aestivum (bread wheat). Its description in RNAcentral is "partial small subunit ribosomal RNA". The record is from RNAcentral. Lineage: Eukaryota; Viridiplantae; Streptophyta; Magnoliopsida; Poales; Poaceae.